Molecule: ribosomal RNA, 425 nt
Filed under: uncultured bacterium
Lineage: Bacteria
Description: bacterial SSU rRNA
Rfam family: Bacterial small subunit ribosomal RNA
Source: RNAcentral
GUUAGGAAUAUUGGACAAUGGGCGCAAGCCUGAUCCAGCCAUGCCGCGUGAGUGAUGAAGGCCUUCGGGUUGUAAAGCUCUUUAGCCGAUGAUUAUAAUGACUGUAGUCGGAAAAUAAGCCCCGGCUAACUUCGUGCCAGCAGCCGCGGUAAUACGAAGGGGGCGAGCGUUAUUCGGAAUCACUGGGCGUAAAGCGUGCGUAGGCGGCUUUGCAAGUUGGGAGUGAAAGCCCAGGGCUCAACCCUGGAAUUGCUCUCAAAACUGCAAGGCUCGAAUUCGGGAGAGGAUAGUGGAAUUGUCAGUGUAGCAGUGAAAUGCGUAGAUAUUGACAGGAACACCAGUGGCGUAAGCGGCUAUCUGGACCGAUAUUGACGCUGAGGCACGAAAGCGUGGGGAUCAAACAGGAUUAGAUACCCGGGUAGUCC